GCAAGCCCAGGAAAGUCAGGGGCCUAUGUGAGCCAAAGAGGAGAGAAGGCGAUGCCUCAGCCCAGUGUUUCUGCCCCACCUGGCUUGUGGCCUUGGGGACUUGAUUUGCACCGCAGGAAAAUGGGCAAUGAAAGCCCCUCCCUGACUGGCUUCUCAGUCCACUCUGACCAGCCCACCGCACAGCGCCCACCCUGCAGCUCCAGGUACAGCCUGUGUACCUGCAGCUCCAG
This 230-nucleotide long non-coding RNA is filed under the name Pongo abelii (Sumatran orangutan). Its description in RNAcentral is "lincRNA". The record is from RNAcentral. Lineage: Eukaryota; Metazoa; Chordata; Mammalia; Primates; Hominidae.